UACGGAGGAUGCAAGCGUUAUCCGGAAUUAUUGGGCGUAAAGCGUCCGCAGGUGGCACUUCAAGUCUGUCGUCAAAGACCGGGGCUUAACCCUGGAAAGGCGAUGGAAACUGAAAGGCUAGAGAGAGGUAGGGGUAGAGGGAAUUCCCAGUGUAGCGGUGAAAUGCGUAGAGAUCAGGAAGAACACCGGUGGCGAAAGCGCUCUGCUGGACCUAAACUGACACUGAGGGACGAAAGCUAGGGGAGCGAAUGGG
This 253-nucleotide ribosomal RNA is filed under the name uncultured bacterium. RNAcentral's name for it is "partial 16S ribosomal RNA". It matches the Rfam family "Bacterial small subunit ribosomal RNA", at positions 524 to 776 of the family's 1533-position model. The record is from RNAcentral.